UUUUAUGGAGAGUUUGAUCCUGGCUCAGGAUGAACGCUGGCGGCGUGCCUAAUACAUGCAAGCCGAGC
RNAcentral lists this ribosomal RNA (68 nucleotides) under Staphylococcus aureus. Its description in RNAcentral is "partial 16S ribosomal RNA". It matches the Rfam family "Bacterial small subunit ribosomal RNA", at positions 1 to 67 of the family's 1533-position model. The record is from RNAcentral. Lineage: Bacteria; Bacillati; Bacillota; Bacilli; Caryophanales; Staphylococcaceae.